Molecule: transfer RNA, 88 nt
Filed under: Verrucomicrobiota bacterium
Lineage: Bacteria; Pseudomonadati; Verrucomicrobiota
Also listed under: 2 other names
Description: Verrucomicrobia bacterium tRNA-Ser
Rfam family: tRNA
About the family: Transfer RNA (tRNA) molecules are approximately 80 nucleotides in length. Their secondary structure includes four short double-helical elements and three loops (D, anti-codon, and T loops).
Source: RNAcentral
GGAGGGGUGGCAGAGCGGUUGAUUGCGCCGGUCUUGAAAACCGGAAGGCCAAAAGGCCUCGUGAGUUCGAAUCUCACCCCCUCCGCCA